RNAcentral lists this ribosomal RNA (253 nucleotides) under uncultured bacterium. RNAcentral's name for it is "partial 16S ribosomal RNA". It matches the Rfam family "Bacterial small subunit ribosomal RNA", at positions 524 to 776 of the family's 1533-position model. The record is from RNAcentral.
UACAGAGGUCCCAAGCGUUGUUCGGAUUCACUGGGCGUAAAGGGUGCGUAGGCGGUCGGGUAAGUCUGAUGUGAAAUCUCACAGCUUAACUGUGAAACUGCAUUGGAUACUAUCCGGCUCGAGGAAUGGAGGGGAGACUGGAAUACUUGGUGUAGCAGUGAAAUGCGUAGAUAUCAAGUGGAACACCGGUGGCGAAGGCGAGUCUCUGGACAUUUCCUGACGCUGAGGCACGAAAGCCAGGGGAGCAAACGGG